AGAGUUUGAUCCUGGCUCAGGAUGAACGCUAGCGGCAGGCCUAAUACAUGCAAGACGAGCGGUAAAUGAUUCAGCAAUGGAUUAUGAGAGCGUCGUAAGGGUGCGUAACACGUAUGCAAUCUGCCCGGAACUGGAGCAUAGCUCGGGGAAACUCGGAUUAACUCUCCAUAAUAUCACUGAAUGGCAUCAUUUGGUGAUUAAAACUCAGGUGGUUCCGGAUGAGCAUGCGGAUGAUUAGCUAGUUGGCGGUGUAACGGACCACCAAGGCGAUGAUCAAUAGGGGAACUGAGAGGUUGAUCCCCCACACUGGCACUGAGAUACGGGCCAGACUCCUACGGGAGGCAGCAGUAGGGAAUAUUGGACAAUGGGUGCAAGCCUGAUCCAGCCAUGCCGCGUGCAGGAAGAAGGCUUUCUGAGUUGUAAACUGCUUUUGCCAGGGGAUAAAAUACGCUUGCGAGCGGAAUUGAAGGUACCUGGUGAAUAAGCCACGGCUAACUACGUGCCAGCAGCCGCGGUAAUACGUAGGUGGCAAGCGUUGUCCGGAUUUAUUGGGUUUAAAGGGUGCGUAGGCGGCAUUUUAAGUCAGUGGUGAAAUACGGCAGCUCAACUGUCGAGGUGCCAUUGAUACUGGGAUGCUUGAGUACUGAUGAGGUAGGCGGAAUGGACGGUGUAGCGGUGAAAUGCUUAGAUAUCGUCCAGAACACCGAUAGCGAAGGCAGCUUACUAAGGAGUAACUGACGCUGAGGCACGAAAGUGUGGGGAUCAAACAGGAUUAGAUACCCUGGUAGUCC
RNAcentral lists this ribosomal RNA (791 nucleotides) under uncultured prokaryote. RNAcentral's name for it is "bacterial SSU rRNA". It matches the Rfam family "Bacterial small subunit ribosomal RNA", at positions 8 to 796 of the family's 1533-position model. The record is from RNAcentral.